GCCUAAUACAUGCAAGUCGAACGCAUUGUGGUUGAAAUGAUAUGAAGAACUUGUUCAGAUUUGAUUUUCAACAUUGCAAUGAGUGGCGAACGGGUGAGUAACACGUGGGAAACCUACCUCUUAGCAGGGGAUAACAUUUGGAAACAAAUGCUAAUACCGUAUAAUAAUUAAAACCGCAUGGUUUUAGUUUAAAAGAUGGUCUUGCUAUCACUAAGAGACGGUCCCGCGGUGUAUUAGUUAGUUGGUGAGGUAAUGGCUCACCAAGACAAUGAUACAUAGCCGAGUUGAGAGACUGACCGGCCACAAUGGGACUGAGACACGGCCCAUACUCCUACGGGAGGCAGCAGUAGGGAAUCUUCCACAAUGGACGAAAGUCUGAUGGAGCAACGCCGCGUGUGUGGUGAAGGGUUUCGGCUCGUAAAACACUGUUGUAAGAGAAGAAUGACAUUGAGAGUAACUGUUCAAUGUGUGACGGUAUCUUACCAGAAAGGAACGGCUAAAUACGUG
RNAcentral lists this ribosomal RNA (507 nucleotides) under uncultured bacterium. Its description in RNAcentral is "bacterial SSU rRNA". It matches the Rfam family "Bacterial small subunit ribosomal RNA", at positions 46 to 507 of the family's 1533-position model. The record is from RNAcentral.